Long non-coding RNA from Mustela lutreola (European mink), 1697 nucleotides. RefSeq lists it as uncharacterized. The transcript has 2 exons. NCBI's taxonomy places the organism in Eukaryota, Metazoa, Chordata, Mammalia, Carnivora, Mustelidae. The record is from RefSeq and is a predicted model, not a curated record.
UGCUCCCUGGAGGAGGUUGGGCCAGUCCAAGUCCUUCGAGACGCCGUAUAGGCCAACGCAACGUUCGGUACGGACAUACUCAGAACAUUACUUAUUUUGCCACUUUUUGAAUUCUCGUCCCGGCCCGGAUAUCCUGUAUCCUGCACUGUGUAAUCCUACUCUACGUCUAGGACAGCCCAUCGGCCCCCCCCCCCGUCACUUUGGAGUCUCCCGAUCCGGAGGGUCAAAUGAGACAGCCCCUUUGCUCCAGAUUCCACCUCAAACCUGCCCCGGAGCCCGAGCACCUGCCGCUCCCCGCAAGUCUGUAGAGGAGACUGGGCCCUGUAGAGCAGAGUCUCCGUAUCUGUUUGCCUUUCGGAAGAGACCUGCACUUCGAAGCCGGGCAUGACUGCUUCUUGCUUGCUCAAGUCCUCACUAGAUCAUUAGCCCUAGGAGGGGAGAGACCUUGACCCAUGAACUCGCUCCUCUGACUCGCGGCACCGGCGGGAGACACGAAUCGAUGAAUGCUGAAAUCCAGUUGUAUGUGAGACCUGAGUUUGCUGUGCACCUUUAUUGGCUGAUAUCCGGUGAAAAGAGGGAGAGCCCAGGUGACAUCAGUUGCACCACAGGAUUGCAAAGCAAGAAAGGAAGAGACCUUGGGGAUUAACACCUUCCUGAGAAAGUCUAGAUGCCAGUGCUCUACUUCUGAGGAUGUUCAGUUUAGACCUCAUGAUCUCAACAAAAAUCUGAAAUUGUAGAAGCAAGUUAGGCUGAUGUAGCUUCCUUUAAAUUAUUUUAUGACACAAGUAGCCAAAGCUACUUUGGCAAGGAGGUCUUGGUAAGUUUGGGAAAGAAAGGAAAGAGAAAAAUGUUUAUCAUGGUUUUGUUACAGCUUCAGUAGAAGUCUUAUUUGAAUGCUGACAUGACUGAGAAUAUGCUGUCACCUGGUAGCAUUUUGUACUAAUGUCAGGAAAAAUUCCCAAGAGUAAAAAAGACUUCUUAGGUGUUAAAAUUGUAAGCCUUCAUUUGAGAACCCCCUGGAAGGCCUAGCCCAUUUUUUGUUACAAAGCCAAACGCAUCAGAAUCAUGUGGAGUACUUGUUAAUGCAGAUUCCUGGGUUCACCACUCCUCUGACUGAAUCAGAAUCUACCGGGUCUGGACUCCAGGAAUCUUCAUUUUAUUAUUAUUAUUUUUUUAAGAUUUUAUUUAUUUAUUUGACAGAGAGAGCGAGAGCAGGAACACAAGCAGGGGGAGUGGGAGAGGGAGCCAGGCUUCCCACUGAGCAGGGAGCCUGAUGCAGGGCUCGAUCCUAGGACCCUGGGAUCAUGACCUGAGGUGAAGGAAGCUGCCUAAUGACUGAGCCACCCAGGCGCCCCAGAAUCUUCAUUUUAAAAAAAUGUCCCACUGGUGAAUCUAGUGCAUAGUCAUAAAGUCUGGGAACACCAGUCUUGCCUCUCCCCUAUGUAAUAAUUAGUAUAUAGCAGGAGUAUAUACCUUUACAUUUUUUUUGCUCAAACAUAAAGCAUAAAGGACAGAAAGCUUAUAUUCAUUUUUAUACACAGAGGGCUGGUGGGGAGGUGUCUGAUGCUAGUCAGAAUCAUCGUUCAAUUAGCUUUAUAAUUUUGGGGGUUUUUGUUUGUUUCUUUUUGUUUGGGCAAGGCCAGGAAUACUUGCUCUACUGUGAUCUAAUGAAAUAAAAAAAAAAUUUAAAGAUUUUA